RNAcentral lists this small RNA (3552 nucleotides) under Rattus norvegicus (Norway rat). RNAcentral's name for it is "uncharacterized LOC102546727". Lineage: Eukaryota; Metazoa; Chordata; Mammalia; Rodentia; Muridae. The record is from RNAcentral.
AGCAUUUUCUCAUGCAUCCACCUAAGAGGCACAAGUGGCUUCUUUUUGCAGCAAAUUCAAUUAAAGUAGAUUAUUGCCAAUGAUGCCAAGUCACAUUUAAAACCCUUUUCAACCUGAAUAUUAAAAACCCUGCCUGGCACAUCUUGCUCUUCUUUCAGAGAUAAUACUCAACACGCACACUGCUGCUAACUCACCUCCCUGAGCCUCACUCCCCGCCUCUUCUGAUUAGGCCUCUCCUGUCUCCCGGGAGUUUUCAUCUGGGAGGCUAACAGUGCUGGUUCCCCAGGCUAGCCUGCAGGGUGUGUCAGGUACCUGGGAAGAGUCAGGCCCCUCCCUCUGGAGACCUGGGCUGUAACCGCCAGAGCUUGGGAGAUGCGCUGAAAAGGAGUCUAGAGAUGCCUACCUAGACCUCAUUUUUUUUUUCUUGCUGGAGGGAAAAGCUCCUUAGGCCGCCAUGUAGCUGAGAAGCCUCUCACACUGCAAGUUCAACUCCCUGAAGGCAAUGCUUGGCUCCUUCUGGUUUUAAGUUACAGGCUGCUGGCGGUGUUGUCCUUGAAAGACAUGAAUGUGUUCCUCUGAGAUGCUGCAUGUAUGAUACUCAGUGAUCAAGUCGCCACGUAGCCUCUAACGAAGCACUGGAAGGACAUUCUGACUGGAAGGACAUUCUGACUGGAAGGACAUUCUGUUUAGCCACGGCUAUGCCCUCAGCCACCCCAAAGCUGAAGAGCUUUAGAUCACUUAUCAAAAUGUCCGACAGUUCUGUGGUCAGCUGGCUUGUGUUCACUCAAGCCGUAGCCUCCCACUGUGGUGAGAUGGUAGUUGCAGUUGGAGUCACCUGACACUCAACUGAGCUGGAAGCCCAAGGAUGAGCACUGGCGCCAGCUGCCAGCUGGAGUUACUGUGUGUGUUCUCACUGGGUGGUUUGGGCUUUUAUACUACUGGCAGCUCAUUCCAAAGAGAGGGUGUUCUAGAAAGAAAACUGGUGUCAUGUGUGGUCACCUUCUAGCUCCCAGAACCAGAGACCACAUAAUGCAUGAAUGACAGGAGAUGCGAUUCAGCAGGGGCCAUCUUUGAAAAUCAUCACAGACAGGUAUUAGUGAAGCUGGUCCUAGACCAUAACUGAUCUUGUAUAUGUGGGGUUUUUUAUAACAGCUCCUCUCCCUUCAGCUUUCCCAAAGGUAAAAUGUUAAUGAGAUCAUAUGUGAAUUCUCUGAUAAAUUAAUUAAUGCCUUCUUAUAAAGACUGCUAUUAUUAUUGGCCUGCCUCAUCAUUUCCACCUGGGAGUCCACAGAAAACAGGCACAACAGUGCAUGUAUCUCGACAACAAAAACCACAUUAAAUUCAUUGAAAUAACACAGACAUUCGAAUUGAGCACAGAUCAAAUCCUAUUACAAACAAAUUGCAUUAGGUUGUCUCCAAAAAUCCAGUGGAACCAGAUGUUUUCCGAGCUCUACUUUCUUCAAGCAAACACUCUAUGUAAGCAACGUGCAGGACUGGAGCUGAACGAAAGAGCCCCUGAAACCUGCAGGGUGGGAUUUAGGCCCAUUUUCUUUUAGCCUUGAGUCCCAACACCUUAAAAUCUAAAAAAGGUUUGCAAGGUUUGUAUGUGUGAGAUACCUGGGAAACAGUUAUAUUAUAGAAGUUGCUUCUUCGUUCUCCCAUUAUGCUUCUCUUCCGUUCAGCAGGGAUUGGAUGCACUCACAGUGCAAGAGCCGGACCAACAGCUGGAAGCCUCGCCCACACCAAUAACCUUUUGCACUGCAAGAGUAAAUUCAAAAUAGAGGAAGGGCUUCAAACUUCCCAAGCCUGUGUGGAUGGCUGUUUGUUAGCUCCUUGUCACUGGGGCAACAUACGUGAGAGAAGCCACUGACAAAAGGAAAGAUCUCAGUUUUUGUGAUUUCUGGUCCCUGGUCAGCUGGUUCCACUGCUGUGGACCUGAGGCAAAACUGAGACGUCGUGUAAGAGCAUGGAUGAGGAAUGCUGCUCACCUCAGCACAUCUGGAGAUGAGUUAGACACCAUAUGUACUCCAUUAUUUGUGUUUGGGUUUUCUCUGAUUUUUGUCUGAAAUGAAGCAAGCACAGCCUGCGAAUCUGCUGAAAGACUAAGAUUCAGAGAUACACAGAAGGAGACAGAGUUGGGGACAGUACUUUCCCAGGGGUAAUUUGUGUCUGAACAAGAUAUGGAAAGUUCUGGAAGGAGACGCACUGAAAGGACAAGCGUGGCUUCAGGAAACUUACAGUGCAGGAUUCAGGCAGUGAUUUGGCUGAUACGAAUUUCAGUCCUGUACUCCCGAAACAAAGAGAACAAGCUGGGAUCCUAUCAAAGAGCGAAGUGCUUGCUGGGAGAAAGGAGAACAGCCUGAUGCCCUCCAGCAGCUAAUGGAUGCAGGACCUCCACAUCCAUCCCCUCCUGGACCAGCGUGCCUGGGCCACAGGCUGGAGGUUCAAACAAUACAAACUUCCUUCUCUCAGCUUUGAAGGUUGAAAUCCAUGAUCAAGGUGCUGGCAGGAUUGGUCUCCGAAGCCUCUGUGCCUGGCCAAUGGAUCAUCUGUCACAUCUAGCUGUCUCUAUGCUUGGUAUCUGUGUGCCCUGGAGUUUCUCUUUGCCACAAAGACACCAACUAUAUCAGGUUAACGUCUACUCAUUGUCUCAAUCUAACCUAAUCACCUUCCCAGCAAACUCUAUACCCGAACCGGACAGCCUCAUCUCUGCCCAUAUAAGCUCCUUUAACCUUAGUUAUAUUUUUACAGACACAUGAUCUGAGCCACUGCAGUUUGGCCCUUAACAUGAGUAUAGAGGACAUACUCUAGACACACCCACCGUUUUCCCAAUGCUGCUUUAAUAUGUAAGAAAGAGCAGGUGAUAUAUCCGUGGUACAUAGAUGUGGGCUGUCUCUUAGGCUUAACUUGAAGGAAGAGUUACAGGAUAUAAGAGCUAUCUACCUAGAGAUGUUUCAGGCACUGAAAAUUGUAAGAAACUAGUUUGAUUUUGGCUGAACUGUCUUUUAAAUGGUGCAGCGAAAGCUUCAGCUGUGCUUUCAAUGGAGAGAAGUACAGGUAGCUGCCUGUAUCUAAUCUGGGCUGGGUUAAAAAAAAAUGUGACUCUCAGCCUCUUGUUCCACCCAUCCUUUUCUGCGUUUUCGCUUUUUUAACACAAAUGCUAUUUGCUCUGUCAUUUUAUUCCAAUCCUUUUCAAUAAAAAAUAUUUAAUUAGGAGACUAUUAAAACACAAAUGCUAUCAUAUAUGACGACAAUGCCAUUCCCAUGCCUUGGAAAUGAGUACCAAUUUCACACUUUAAACCCAAUUCAAAUUGUCCUCAUUUCAAAAAAAAAUUAUAAUUGAUUACAUGAAGCAGGCAUCUAGACAAGAUCAGUAUUGCAGUUGGCUGUUAGUAGAUCAUUUGUUGUGGGAAAAUGGUGUUUUCCAGAGACAUCCGAUUAGCCUGUCCUGUAAGGUUGGGAUUUUAUUUGUUUACUUGGGAACGGUUCCAAUUACUAAAAUAAAUUCAUGUUCUGAUGGAUUAUGAUAGAAUUGCGGGUUUAUUUAGCCUU